GUCUGACGUCUGAUGUCGCUGCAGGUGUGACUGACUCACUCCUCAGGCCCUUCCCAGUGUGGAUGGUGAUUUUCUAUUAUGAGCCCCUAUUCUGGAGGUCUGCUGGUUGCAGCUCCUCGAGGCCUGGAGGCGUGCCUAGCUGACAUGCGUCAGGGAAGGCUGUCACAAAGGCACAUGUCCCAUCAGAGCGUAGCGGUCAUCACUGGACGACGGCGCAGACAUGGUCAUGACCUGCCGGCUCUCAGGUGCCAUGGUCAGGCACCCCUUCCUCUGUGCCUACAGCACCUUCCCUACACCUUCUAACACCACCAGCACUCUGUGAGUUCCUGGAGGGCAUAUAUCGGCUUUCCUCUCCAAGUAGGUAAUCAAUAGAUGGAUGGAUGGGUAGAUGAUGGACGGAUGGACGGAUGGAUGGGUAGAUGAUGGACAGGUGAAUGGAUGGAUGGGCAGAUGAUGGACGGAUGGACAGAUGGGUAAAUGAUGGAUGGAUGGAUGGAUGGGCAGAUGAUGGACAGAUGGAUGGAUGGACGGGCAGAUGAUGGACGGAUGGACAGAUGGGUAAAUGAUGGAUGGAUGGAUGGGCAGAUGAUGGACGGAUGGACGGAUGGAUGGGUAGAUGAUGGACAGAUGAAUGGAUGGAUGGGCAGAUGAUGGACGGAUGGACAGAUGGGUAAAUGAUGGAUGGAUGGAUGGAUGGGCAG
RNAcentral lists this long non-coding RNA (701 nucleotides) under Equus asinus (donkey). Its description in RNAcentral is "lncRNA (ENSEASG00005036399.1)". The record is from RNAcentral. Lineage: Eukaryota; Metazoa; Chordata; Mammalia; Perissodactyla; Equidae.